UGCUGUCCUUGACCAUAA
This 18-nucleotide unclassified non-coding RNA is filed under the name Mus musculus (house mouse). Its description in RNAcentral is "oocyte_clustered_small_RNA1353". The record is from RNAcentral. Lineage: Eukaryota; Metazoa; Chordata; Mammalia; Rodentia; Muridae.